UCUACACCCAAUAUUUGUAUGUGGCACAAAUAAAUAAGAUAACUAAAAAAUUGAAACAAUCAUAAUAAAAAUCAUAGUUAUGUAAAUUUUAUUCAUAAAAAACUAAACUUAUAAAUAUUUCUAAUUAAAAUGGUGAAAAAUAACUAAUAAGAUUGUAACUAAAUUUUAAAUAUGUCAUAUAAGAGUAUAUAAAAUGACAUUAACCAUAAAUUAUAUAGAUAAUAGUAAAUAGCUUUUAAAUAUAGUUAGAUUUUAAAAUAUUUGAUAAAUUAGAUACAAAUUAUUUAAUUAACUUGAUUUACUAAUAUUAUUAACUUAUGAGAUUGUAAAAUAACAUAUAAAAUGCAACCAGUAAAAAGAGAAUGAAAAAUGGAAAACUAGAGGCAGGGGUGAGAAUCGAACACUUUCCCAGUGGAGCUAUUGGUGACACCAGUAACCAAUUUACUUAAUGGAUCAGCAAAGAUGAUACCUCCCUAGGAAUUUUCUAAUAAUCAGUAUGUGGCACAUGCCCAAUCCUUUGACUAUCUAGAUCCGCCCCUGGACAUGUGAAAGUUUUGAGUGGAGUUCGGCCGUCCGAUGCUAUCUUAGUUUUCUCGAAUUUUAUACUACUUCUAUUUAUAAUCAACAUGCACUUAGAGUUCACGUAUGCGUGGAGUUAUGUCAGAUGAUGUUUCAAUUGUGCUGACCACUACUCAGCUUUAGGCUCAAUUGCCAUACUAUGGACAUGGCUUAUCUCAAGCGAGAAUGUAAGAAAAAGGUAUGAUAUUCGUUUCUCUCUUGGAGUGAAUACCCUCUCUCUCUUUGUUAAUUUGUUGAUAAUCAAAGCAAGAAAAAAACCUAACUUGAGUUUGUAAGCAUAGUGAAUGAUUUAAUAGGCGAUGAUGGUCCAUGCCAACAAGAAUAUAGGAAAUGAGACAGAGCAGGUGAAGCUUUUGAGAAAAUUCAAAACCCAUAUGAGGUAAUGAUUGAUAAUGUGUUUCAUCAGUUUGUGUGCAUCAAGCUCCUCCAUCUCUGGUCUCUCUAUAUAUAUGGCCUCUAGCUAGGUAUUGCUUGAAUCUAUACUACGCAAAUCAUAUUGCCGAUGAAUUAAAGAAGGAAGAACAACUAAUUAAUCUAUUUUUCGGAGUUUUAAAAUUUGAAAGCUGGGGCUUUGGAGGCUCAGAGAGUGAAGGAGAGGAAGCUUCAAGCGAGUGUUAAAAAUAUGGAAAACGGCAUUACUUGCUGACUGUUUUGCUCAGUUCUGGUACGGUCAGUGUGAUUCAUGCAGUGUCAUUUUAUGACUACAUUUCUGCUGCCUCUUUGUUUGUGUUAAUUUUUGCCCAUCGCCUGAUAUGCAUGAGCUCUUCACACAUCGACAAUAUUUUCUUUUGUAUGAAGGGAUCUUUAAUCAUUUCGAGUUGAAAUACUUUUACUAUUUGCCAGCAAUCUCUUCUUCUUAUAUUACAACUGAACUUAGCUAAAAAGGUUUAUGUACUCACUCACUCAUGUAGGCCAAUUCAAAAGCAUCAAAUCAUAUAAUUAGAAAGAAAAUUUAGAGAAGUUUGAUGUUCUGGGGCAAGUCGCUAAAAUAUGUAACUAUGCGAUCUUUUCAUAUGGGUUUAGUUUAUUUUAUUUUGGCGACAAAUUAUUAUUAUUAUUAUUUAUCUCUUAUGGAUACUUUAUAGAUGAACACGUAUUCCUUCGUUUGUGAUUUUUAAAUCGGAUUACAUUUGAAUAUAAAUGUGAAAGUUGAAAGAUUUAAAAGUUAAAGAGUCAUAUUAAAUUGGUGACGAACUUCUCUCAAGUAAUGAAAUGUAUAGAAAAGAGUUAGUUGAGAGGGACCUACAAAAGAGUCAUAUUCAAUUUUUUUUUUCUUUCAAAUAGUUUAAACCGACCUACAAAAAAAAAUCAAUGAUUCGAAUAUUGAAUUGAAAACCUUCAGUUGUAAGCAAAACCCAUCUCAGUUUUACAUCGAAAAAUAAAUAAAUCUAAAAGGGCACAAAAGGGUUUAUGUGUGGGUGUGUGCUAAUGCCAUAUGUUUUGUUUUGAUUGAAUUCACAGCAUAUUUACCGAGAAGAAGAUGAGAUCUGAUCGUCCUCUUUUUACCUUCUUGAUCUUCUUGAACCAUAUGUGAUUGUU
This is a long non-coding RNA of Brassica napus (rape), 2118 nucleotides long. RefSeq lists it as uncharacterized. The record is from RefSeq and is a predicted model, not a curated record. The transcript has 2 exons. Lineage: Eukaryota; Viridiplantae; Streptophyta; Magnoliopsida; Brassicales; Brassicaceae.